GCCCGGUAGCUCGUCAGGCUCAUAACCUGAAGGCCGCAGGUUCAAAUCCUGCCCCCGCA
This 59-nucleotide transfer RNA is filed under the name Labrys wisconsinensis. RNAcentral describes it as "tRNA-Leu". The stretch from base 5 to 54 matches the Rfam family "tRNA", at positions 6 to 65 of the family's 71-position model. Rfam says of the family: Transfer RNA (tRNA) molecules are approximately 80 nucleotides in length. RNAcentral also lists the same sequence under 1 other name. Lineage: Bacteria; Pseudomonadati; Pseudomonadota; Alphaproteobacteria; Hyphomicrobiales; Xanthobacteraceae. The record is from RNAcentral.